This 140-nucleotide ribosomal RNA is filed under the name uncultured Thiomicrospira sp. RNAcentral describes it as "partial 16S ribosomal RNA". It matches the Rfam family "Bacterial small subunit ribosomal RNA", at positions 383 to 516 of the family's 1533-position model. The record is from RNAcentral. Lineage: Bacteria; Pseudomonadati; Pseudomonadota; Gammaproteobacteria; Thiotrichales; Piscirickettsiaceae.
CUGAUGCAGCCCACCGCGUGUGUGAAGAAGGCCUUCGGGUUGUAAAGCACUUUUAUUUGGGAGGAAGAUGAAGUAGUUAAUACCUGCUUAGUUUGACGUUACCUUCACAACAAGCACCGGCUUACUCUGUGCCAGCAGCC